CCUUACAUGGUGAUAAGGGGUUUGGCCCUGAUAGCCAAGGAUGACUUGCCUGUGCAUGUCCUCCCUUGAUCGCUUGCAUAAUUUCAUAUAUGCAUGUGAUCUCGAUUUAUCACAGGCAGUCUCCUUGGCUAGCCUGGGUGCCUCUUAUCCUCCAUGCUAGGCCU
This is a non-coding RNA of Brachypodium distachyon (stiff brome), 164 nucleotides long. Lineage: Eukaryota; Viridiplantae; Streptophyta; Magnoliopsida; Poales; Poaceae. The record is from RefSeq and is marked provisional.